RNAcentral lists this ribosomal RNA (507 nucleotides) under uncultured soil bacterium. Its description in RNAcentral is "bacterial SSU rRNA". It matches the Rfam family "Bacterial small subunit ribosomal RNA", at positions 26 to 512 of the family's 1533-position model. The record is from RNAcentral.
AGAUUGAACGCUGGCGGCGUGCUUAACACAUGCAAGUCGAGCGGUAACAGGCGUAGCAAUACGUGCUGACGAGCGGCGAACGGGUGCGUAAUACAUGGGAAUCUGCCUUUUAGUGGGGAAUAACCCGGCGAAAGCCGGGCUAAUGCCGCAUAAGAUCUUCGGAUGAAAGCGGGGGAUCGUAAGACCUCGCGCUGAUAGAUGAGCCCAUGCCGGAUUAGCUAGUUGGUGAGGUAACGGCUCACCAAGGCGACGGUCCGUAGCUGGUCUGAGAGGACGGCCAGCCACACUGGGACUGAGACACGGCCCAGACUCCGUACGGGAGGCAGCAGUGGGGAAUAUGGACAAUGGGGGAAACCCUGAUCCAGCGACGCCGCGUGUGUGAAGAAGGCCUGCGGUUGUAAAGCUACGUUUCGGUAGGAACGAAAUAGUGCCGGGACUAAGUAGUUACCCGGUAGGCUAGUACGUUACUACAAUAGAAGAAGCCACCGGCUAAACGUCUGUGCCAGC